Molecule: unclassified non-coding RNA, 455 nt
Filed under: Hevea brasiliensis (rubber tree)
Lineage: Eukaryota; Viridiplantae; Streptophyta; Magnoliopsida; Malpighiales; Euphorbiaceae
Source: RNAcentral
GAAAGAGUGAAAUAAAAAAAACAAUAAACCAGAUUUAAAAUUAGAUAAUCUAUACAUAGUAUCUACGUCUUAGCAAUCAAUCCUUUUGUCAGUUCUCAACAUAUCAGUAUCAAAAUGAGUGGAAAAAGUUGCAUUAAUAGAAAUACUGAACAAAGGAAUUCUACAAUGAAUAGUUACCAUGUGGGGCCAGCAAAGAAGAAAGAGAAAUUGUCCACUUAUGGAGGUAUAAAGAAUAGAGCCUCCUGAAGAUAAAAUUCUUUGUGUGGAGUGCCUUUCUUGAUUCCAGUUUAACUAUAGACAGUUUGAUGAAGAGAGGAUUUCAUUAGGCCAAUUAGAGUUACAUGGUGGACAGAAAAAGGAGAAUGUCAAUCAUCAUUGUUCCUUGAAGAGGUUGGGCCUUCGUAUUUUCUAGGUUGGGAUUAGUAGUGCUCAGUGUUGUCAAGAGAUGCCCAGGC